This 137-nucleotide ribosomal RNA is filed under the name Capronia americana. RNAcentral's name for it is "Phialophora americana partial large subunit ribosomal RNA". It matches the Rfam family "Eukaryotic large subunit ribosomal RNA", at positions 82 to 219 of the family's 3401-position model. The record is from RNAcentral. Lineage: Eukaryota; Fungi; Ascomycota; Eurotiomycetes; Chaetothyriales; Herpotrichiellaceae.
AGUAACGGCGAGUGAAGCGGCAACAGCUCAAAUUUGAAAUCUGGCCUCUCGGGGUCCGAGUUGUAAUUUGUAGAGGAUGUUUUGGGUACCGCCCCGGUCUAAAUUUCUUGGAACAGAAUGUCAAAGAGGGUGAGAAU